This 842-nucleotide long non-coding RNA is filed under the name Ricinus communis (castor bean). RNAcentral describes it as "long non-coding RNA (RCOM_LNC003067)". The record is from RNAcentral. Lineage: Eukaryota; Viridiplantae; Streptophyta; Magnoliopsida; Malpighiales; Euphorbiaceae.
AGAGAAUGAAUUAGGAUUAGCUAAGGCAUUAGUAAAUUGCUUUAAAUCAAAGUAUUCUCUCUCUACUUUAUUCUCUUUCUUCCUCUUCAUUGUCUCUAUAAAUUAGGGUUCUGUUUUGGACGACUAGUGGUGGUUCUUCUACCACCAAUCUCUCUAAUGCCCAUUUUGGCCUUUGGUCUAGUUUCUUUAUUUAAUCUUUCCUCCUCAGUUUAGAUUUUAUUUGUUGUUAUCAGUGCUCUUUGUUGGACUUUUUGCCGUGAUUUUGUGUUGGUUUUCUACAGGGUGCUCUGCCUAAUAAUGCAAUGUUAUUUGUUGCUCGUGUCCGUUAUCAUCCUCUAGGAGUCUGUUUGUGGAUGGAUGAGGGCAAGGGAGAGGGUGAGCUAUUGGUGAUGCUCCUAUAGGUUAGGGGUAUUAAUCGUUUCUUGCAAGAUCGACCACUAUUGUCGCCUCUUUCCAUCAUUCACAACCGCUCUUAUAUGGUUCGGCCUUCGAUUGUGUGUUGGGUCUUCUCCACUAGUUUUGUUGUCAUAUGGUGGUUGUACUUUAUCAUUUUCAUCUUGGUUUUUCUUUUAUUGUGGCUUGAGGAUUAAUAGUACUCUAUUUUGAUACUAGGAAAAGAUCAAGCUCUUUAUCUCUAAUGCAGAUGCAAAUGGGGAAGAAGGACUAUAAUAGUGAUGAGUAUAUCUGUCAAUGACCAAAUUGUUAUUCUCUUGUUAUUGUAGACCUUAGUUUCAAUUGCUUAGUGGUUGUAAGCCCGGUUUGAGUUUUCUAGGCCUUUGACCUAAGUUUAUAAACCUAUCGUUUAAUUUUUCUUUAGUUGGAUCGUGGGCCUUUAUAUUCUU